This 531-nucleotide ribosomal RNA is filed under the name uncultured Bacillota bacterium. RNAcentral's name for it is "bacterial SSU rRNA". It matches the Rfam family "Bacterial small subunit ribosomal RNA", at positions 8 to 522 of the family's 1533-position model. The record is from RNAcentral. Lineage: Bacteria; Bacillati; Bacillota.
AGAGUUUGAUCAUGGCUCAGGACGAACGCUGGCGGCGUGCCUAAUACAUGCAAGUCGAGCGAAUCGAUGGGAGCUUGCUCCCAUUGAUUAGCGGCGGACGGGUGAGUAACACGUGGGUAACCUGCCUGUAAGACUGGGAUAACUUCGGGAAACCGGAGCUAAUACCGGAUAGUUUCUUUUCUCGCAUGAGAGAAGAUGGAAAGAUGGUUUCGGCUAUCACUUACAGAUGGACCCGCGGCGCAUUAGCUAGUUGGUGAGGUAAUGGCUCACCAAGGCAACGAUGCGUAGCCGACCUGAGAGGGUGAUCGGCCACACUGGGACUGAGACACGGCCCAGACUCCUACGGGAGGCAGCAGUAGGGAAUCUUCCGCAAUGGACGAAAGUCUGACGGAGCAACGCCGCGUGAGCGAAGAAGGCCUUCGGGUCGUAAAGCUCUGUUGUUAGGGAAGAACAAGUACAAGAGUAACUGCUUGUACCUUGACGGUACCUAACCAGAAAGCCACGGCUAACUACGUGCCAGCAGCCGCGGUA